AACCCAUGAUGUGGGCAACUUCUAAGCAACUCUUGGAAUCUUUCCUAGGCUUCUAAUAAAUUUUCUAGUUCAUUUUGAGCCAAAUUUUCAAUGUCCCUUUGAAGUU
Molecule: non-coding RNA, 106 nt
Organism: Glycine max (soybean)
Lineage: Eukaryota; Viridiplantae; Streptophyta; Magnoliopsida; Fabales; Fabaceae
Source: Rfam